RNAcentral lists this ribosomal RNA (444 nucleotides) under uncultured bacterium. RNAcentral describes it as "bacterial SSU rRNA". It matches the Rfam family "Bacterial small subunit ribosomal RNA", at positions 774 to 1210 of the family's 1533-position model. The record is from RNAcentral.
AGGCAAUAGAUACCCAGGUAGUCCACGCCCUAAACGAUGUCUACUAGUUGUUGGUGGAGUAAAAUACCAUGAGUAAACGCAGCUAACGCGUGAAGUAGACCGCCUGGGGAGUACGGUCGCAAGAUUAAAACUCAAAGGAAUUGACGGGGGGCGUCGCACAAGCGGUGGAUUAUGUGGAUUAAUUCGAUGCAACGCGAAAACCUUACCUGGCCUUGACAUGCCACUAACGAAGCAGAGAUGCAUUAGGUGCCCGUAAGGGAAAGUGGACACAGGUGCCGCAUGGCUGUCGUCAGCUCGUGUCGUGAGAUGUUGGGUUAAGUUCCCGCAACGAGCGCAACCCUUGCCAUUAAUUGCCAUCGUUUAGUUGGGCACUUUAAUGGGACUGCCGGUGACAAACCGGAGGAAGGUGGGGAUGACGUCAAGUCCUCAUGGCCCUUAUGGCCA